RNAcentral lists this unclassified non-coding RNA (295 nucleotides) under uncultured Helotiales. RNAcentral's name for it is "sequence contains ITS1". The stretch from base 1 to 105 matches the Rfam family "5.8S ribosomal RNA", at positions 50 to 154 of the family's 154-position model. Lineage: Eukaryota; Fungi; Ascomycota; Leotiomycetes; Helotiales. The record is from RNAcentral.
GAAAUGCGAUAAGUAAUGUGAAUUGCAGAAUUCAGUGAAUCAUCGAAUCUUUGAACGCACAUUGCGCCCUCUGGUAUUCCGGGGGGCAUGCCUGUUCGAGCGUCAUUAUAACCACUCAAGCUCUCGCUUGGUAUUGGGGUUCGCGGUUUCGCGGCCCCUAAAAUCAGUGGCGGUGCCUGUCGGCUCUACGCGUAGUAAUACUCCUCGCGAUUGAGUCCGGUAGGUUUACUUGCCAACAACCCCUAAUUUUUUUAAGGUUGACCUCGGAUCAGGUAGGGAUACCCGCUGAGUUUAA